GCACGAAGGUUUCGGCCUUAGUGGCGGACGGGUGAGUAACGCGUAGGGAUCUAUCCACGGGUGGGGGACAACUUCGGGAAACUGGAGCUAAUACCGCAUGAUACCUGAGGGUCAAAGGCGCAAGUCGCCUGUGGAGGAACCUGCGUUCGAUUAGCUAGUUGGUGGGGUAAAGGCCUACCAAGGCGAUGAUCGAUAGCUGGUUUGAGAGGAUGAUCAGCCACACUGGGACUGAGACACGGCCCAGACUCCUACGGGAGGCAGCAGUGGGGAAUAUUGGACAAUGGGGGAAACCCUGAUCCAGCAAUGCCGCGUGUGUGAAGAAGGUCUUCGGAUUGUAAAGCACUUUCGACGGGGACGAUGAUGACGGUACCCGUAGAAGAAGCCCCGGCUAACUUCGUGCCAGCAGCCGCGGUAAUACGAAGGGGGCUAGCGUUGCUCGGAAUGACUGGGCGUAAAGGGCGCGUAGGCGGUUUGGACAGUCAGAUGUGAAAUCCCCGGGCUUAACCUGGGAACUGCAUUUGAUACGUCCAGACUAGAGUUCGAGAGAGGGUUGUGGAAUUCCCAGUGUAGC
Molecule: ribosomal RNA, 571 nt
Filed under: Gluconobacter albidus
Lineage: Bacteria; Pseudomonadati; Pseudomonadota; Alphaproteobacteria; Acetobacterales; Acetobacteraceae
Description: bacterial SSU rRNA
Rfam family: Bacterial small subunit ribosomal RNA
Source: RNAcentral